AGCUUGUAGUAAUAAUUGCAAGUGUAGCCUGCCCAAUGCAAUAGUAAAUGGCCGCAGAACUUUAACUGUGCUAAGGUAGCGUAAUCAUUUGUCUUUUAAAUGGAGACUGUAUGAAAGGCUUAAUGGGAUAUAACUGUCUUAAACAGGUUCAAUAGAAAUUAUUUAUAAGGUGAAAAUACCUUAAAAUUACAAAAAGACGAGAAGACCCUAAGAGUUUAAAUAAAAAGGGGAUUUCUCCUUAAAUUUUUGUUGGGGCAACAAAGGAGCUAUCCUCCUUUAGUUAAUACAAGAAAUAAUUUAGAAAGAAAACACUACCUUAGGGAUAACAGCACAAUCUGUAACGGGUUUGUGACCUCGAUGUUGGACUAGGAAUAGCUAUCUCCAGAAGAGAUAUGUUAAGGCUCUGUUCGAGCGAUUUAACCU
Molecule: ribosomal RNA, 423 nt
Filed under: Siphonaria sp. UF 323720
Lineage: Eukaryota; Metazoa; Mollusca; Gastropoda; Siphonariida; Siphonariidae
Description: partial 16S ribosomal RNA
Rfam family: Archaeal large subunit ribosomal RNA
Source: RNAcentral